Molecule: long non-coding RNA, 1362 nt
Filed under: Mytilus galloprovincialis (Mediterranean mussel)
Lineage: Eukaryota; Metazoa; Mollusca; Bivalvia; Mytilida; Mytilidae
Source: RNAcentral
GAGAAAUUACAUUUUGCAGGAAACACUUGUUCAAGAUUAUCGUGUCUUAUUUAUUGGAAGCACAUAUCUAAAACCUGUAAGCAACUCCAAGUAAAAGUUAAAUAAUAACGAUUAAGUAUUUGAUAGAUUAAUAAAACUUAUUAGGCUAAAUUUUACUUUAAGGGAAGUGUUGGUGUUACAGUUACGAUUGCACAAAUAUAAAAAAAAUUAGUUUGGUCAGGAGCCACGAUAUCAUAAUAAAUUAAUAGAACAAAAAGAUCUAAAUUUAUCACACUUGGGUUGAAAUCAAUGAUGUCAAUUUUGAAGAAUUCACAUUGAUGUCACCGAGGUUGAACAUUUUGAUGUAUUAUUUUCAGAGAAAUCAAUAAUUCUUCCUGAAUUGAAAAUAUAUAUAAAACCAACACUAAAAUAGUUUAUACCUAUAAAAAUAAAAUGUUUGUAACAAAAGUGUUUGAAAUCCAUUUCAUUUGUUUUUUCUUCAAAUUUGUCAUGAUUCUCUGAAUAAGUGACAAUUCAUAUUUAGGAAAAAUAUCAUAUUCACUUUGAUCAUUUUUUUUUUUACAAGUUUGGCAAUCAUCUCAUCAACCAGUUUGGGGGAUAUGUUACCAUUGCUGAAAUUUUCAAAACAGAUUUGAUAGAGAAUCUAAACAGUACAAGUAUUCCCCUUGAAAAUGCAUAACAACCAUAAAUAUAUAACAAAAUUACAUAUAACUAAUACUGACUAAAAACAGAGAUCGCCUAGAGUAGAUAAGUACAUGUUUUUACAAAAAGAUACACGAAAGUCCACAUUACAAUACACAUUUACACACAUAAAAACUUACAUGUAAGAAUUACACAGAAAUUCUACUUUUGUAUUCAUAUAAUGUUUACCUUAUGAAAAUAAGGAAAAUUUGGCAGGAAUGCCAAUGAGACAACUAUCUACCAGAUUUCAAAUGACGAAGAUAUAGGCAAAUUGUGCACAAUCAAAAAUGUGUAAAACAUUUAACAUUGAAAUAUUUAUAAAUGGAAUGUUUAUUAAAUGUGCAUUCUAAAAGGAAAAGAGUUGAGGUUGGAAACAUUUGCUGUAUAUUUAUGUAGUUUGUUAACUGAUGAUGAACAUACCCUUUUAAAAUAUACAGGGUUCAAAAAUACCAUUGAAAUUCCAUUGUUUCAUUACAGAUCAAUCUGUGGUUGUAUUGUAUGCCACUUACAUGCACUCCCUCAGUAAAACUGACAUAAUUAUUUUUUUCCAAAAAACACUGGCUAAUGAUUUUUUGAAUUAGCUGACAGGUGUUUUAUGGAGCUUGAUAAGCAUACAUCAAGUCAAGAGACAAAAAAACUCAUUCAAAUCCAGACACAAAUACAUGUGGUCAAAAGUAUUAC